UUUUUACUUUAAAGCCAAAUUAGGUUUUUUACCCAAUGUCACGGUCCACUGAACAUGGAAAAUGAUAAUGCGAGUGGGGCAUCCGUGUACUUUGGAAACAUUCUUGUUUAAUUUUCAUUUAUGUUCUAAAAGAAAUGCACUACGAAAUAAUUGUGGUCUCGGUCCAAACUGGAGAACACUCCGCACAAAUGUCCAUGCAGAUAUAUAUAUAUUCCUUUAAGAACAUGUAAUACUUAAUAAAUGUUGGUGUUUUUCUUAAUUUAUUAAUCAGGUUUUCCUGAGAGAAUUAGGAAAGGAAUAGAAUCGUUUGUUCCAAAAACAACGAAAGUGAAAGUGAUAGCUUACCCAGAACGUAAAUCCGCAGUGUGGAUUGGUGGAUCUAUUUUAGGAUCUUUAUCCACAUUUCAAUCGUACUGGAUAACAAAACAGGAAUACGAAGAAUAUGGACCAACAAUCGUGCAUAGGAGAGAUUAACGAAUGGACAAUCAAAAUAAUCGGAACUGAGUGGUUCAGUAUAUAAAGCAUUAUGGGUAAUAUCUUCAACAAGGAACAAAACAUUCAACAAAUGGACAAGUCAUUUAAAUAAAACUUAGAAAAUUAUACGUUAUUUUCAAUGUCAUAAAAUUAGCAAAAAUGUAAUGUGAUAUUGAAUCUUUUUUUUUCUUCUCUUGUUUAUUAAAUACUUUAUAUCAACUUGUAUAUACAUGAUGUACUUUUUGUGUUUUAUUUCUGUCUAGAAAAUUUGCUCAAUGACGUUUUCAUCAUUAUGUUCACACAUGCAGUAGUCAUAUAUUAGAUCAUUGGUUAUUAAA
RNAcentral lists this long non-coding RNA (812 nucleotides) under Mytilus galloprovincialis (Mediterranean mussel). The record is from RNAcentral. Lineage: Eukaryota; Metazoa; Mollusca; Bivalvia; Mytilida; Mytilidae.